RNAcentral lists this ribosomal RNA (484 nucleotides) under uncultured bacterium. RNAcentral describes it as "partial 16S ribosomal RNA". It matches the Rfam family "Bacterial small subunit ribosomal RNA", at positions 29 to 507 of the family's 1533-position model. The record is from RNAcentral.
AUUGAACGCUGGCGGCAUGCUUUACACAUGCAAGUCGAACGGCAGCGCGGGCUUCGGCCUGGCGGCGAGUGGCGAACGGGUGAGUAAUACAUCGGAACGUGCCCAGCAGUGGGGGAUAGCUCGGCGAAAGCCGGAUUAAUACCGCAUACGACCUGAGGGUGAAAGCGGGGGAUCUUCGGACCUCGUGCUCUUGGAGCGGCCGAUGGCAGAUUAGCUAGUUGGUGGGGUAAAGGCCUACCAAGGCGACGAUCUGUAGCUGGUCUGAGAGGACGACCAGCCACACUGGGACUGGGACACGGCCCAGACUCCUACGGGAGGCAGCAGUGGGGAAUUUUGGACAAUGGGCGAAAGCCUGAUCCAGCAAUGCCGCGUGUGUGAUGAAGGCCUUCGGGUUGUAAAGCACUUUUGGCGGGAACGAAAAGGACUGUGCCAAUACCACGGUUCGAUGACGGUACCCGCAGAAUAAGCACCGGCUAACUACGUG